GCAGCCGCGGUAAUACGUAGGUGGCAAGCGUUGUCCGGAUUUACUGGGUGUAAAGGGAGCGCAGGCGGGAAGGCAAGUCAGCUGUGAAAACUAUGGGCUUAACCCAUAGACUGCAGUUGAAACUGUCUUUCUUGAGUGGAGUAGAGGUAAGCGGAAUUCCGAGUGUAGCGGUGAAAUGCGUAGAGAUUCGGAGGAACACCAGUGGCGAAGGCGGCUUACUGGGCUCUAACUGACGCUGAGGCUCGAAAGUGUGGGGAGCAAACAGGAUUAGAUACCCC
This 278-nucleotide ribosomal RNA is filed under the name uncultured Eubacterium sp. RNAcentral's name for it is "partial 16S ribosomal RNA". It matches the Rfam family "Bacterial small subunit ribosomal RNA", at positions 511 to 788 of the family's 1533-position model. The record is from RNAcentral. Lineage: Bacteria; Bacillati; Bacillota; Clostridia; Eubacteriales; Eubacteriaceae.